RNAcentral lists this ribosomal RNA (2923 nucleotides) under Klebsiella pneumoniae. Its description in RNAcentral is "bacterial LSU rRNA". It matches the Rfam family "Bacterial large subunit ribosomal RNA". Lineage: Bacteria; Pseudomonadati; Pseudomonadota; Gammaproteobacteria; Enterobacterales; Enterobacteriaceae. The record is from RNAcentral. RNAcentral also lists the same sequence under 3 other names.
GGGUUGUGAGGUUAAGCGACUAAGCGUACACGGUGGAUGCCCUGGCAGUCAGAGGCGAUGAAGGACGUGCUAAUCUGCGAAAAGCGUCGGUAAGGUGAUAUGAACCGUUACAGCCGGCGAUGUCCGAAUGGGGAAACCCAGUGCAAUUCGUUGCACUAUCGUUAACUGAAUACAUAGGUUAACGAGGCGAACCGGGGGAACUGAAACAUCUAAGUACCCCGAGGAAAAGAAAUCAACCGAGAUUCCCCCAGUAGCGGCGAGCGAACGGGGAGCAGCCCAGAGUCUGAAUCAGCUUGUGUGUUAGUGGAACGGUCUGGAAAGUCCGACGGUACAGGGUGAUAGUCCCGUACACCAAAAUGCACAGGCUGUGAACUCGAAGAGUAGGGCGGGACACGUGGUAUCCUGUCUGAAUAUGGGGGGACCAUCCUCCAAGGCUAAAUACUCCUGACUGACCGAUAGUGAACCAGUACCGUGAGGGAAAGGCGAAAAGAACCCCGGCGAGGGGAGUGAAAAAGAACCUGAAACCGUGUACGUACAAGCAGUGGGAGCACCUUCGGGUGUGACUGCGUACCUUUUGUAUAAUGGGUCAGCGACUUAUAUUCUGUAGCAAGGUUAACCGUAUAGGGGAGCCGCAGGGAAACCGAGUCUUAACUGGGCGUUAAGUUGCAGGGUAUAGACCCGAAACCCGGUGAUCUAGCCAUGGGCAGGUUGAAGGUUGGGUAACACUAACUGGAGGACCGAACCGACUAAUGUUGAAAAAUUAGCGGAUGACUUGUGGCUGGGGGUGAAAGGCCAAUCAAACCGGGAGAUAGCUGGUUCUCCCCGAAAGCUAUUUAGGUAGCGCCUCGUGAACUCAUCUUCGGGGGUAGAGCACUGUUUCGGCUAGGGGGUCAUCCCGACUUACCAACCCGAUGCAAACUACGAAUACCGAAGAAUGUUAUCACGGGAGACACACGGCGGGUGCUAACGUCCGUCGUGAAGAGGGAAACAACCCAGACCGCCAGCUAAGGUCCCAAAGUCAUGGUUAAGUGGGAAACGAUGUGGGAAGGCACAGACAGCCAGGAUGUUGGCUUAGAAGCAGCCAUCAUUUAAAGAAAGCGUAAUAGCUCACUGGUCGAGUCGGCCUGCGCGGAAGAUGUAACGGGGCUAAACCAUGCACCGAAGCUGCGGCAGCGACACUAUGUGUUGUUGGGUAGGGGAGCGUUCUGUAAGCCUGCGAAGGUGUGCUGUGAGGCAUGCUGGAGGUAUCAGAAGUGCGAAUGCUGACAUAAGUAACGAUAAAGCGGGUGAAAAGCCCGCUCGCCGGAAGACCAAGGGUUCCUGUCCAACGUUAAUCGGGGCAGGGUGAGUCGACCCCUAAGGCGAGGCCGAAAGGCGUAGUCGAUGGGAAACAGGUUAAUAUUCCUGUACUUGGUGUUACUGCGAAGGGGGGACGGAGAAGGCUAUGUUAGCCGGGCGACGGUUGUCCCGGUUUAAGCAUGUAGGCUGAUUGUCCAGGCAAAUCCGGAUAAUCAAGGCUGAGGUGUGAUGACGAGGCACUACGGUGCUGAAGUAACAAAUGCCCUGCUUCCAGGAAAAGCCUCUAAGCAUCAGGUAACAUCAAAUCGUACCCCAAACCGACACAGGUGGUCAGGUAGAGAAUACCAAGGCGCUUGAGAGAACUCGGGUGAAGGAACUAGGCAAAAUGGUGCCGUAACUUCGGGAGAAGGCACGCUGGUGUGUAGGUGAAGUCCCUGCGGAUGGAGCUGAGACCAGUCGAAGAUACCAGCUGGCUGCAACUGUUUAUUAAAAACACAGCACUGUGCAAACACGAAAGUGGACGUAUACGGUGUGACGCCUGCCCGGUGCCGGAAGGUUAAUUGAUGGGGUUAUCCGUAAGGAGAAGCUCUUGAUCGAAGCCCCGGUAAACGGCGGCCGUAACUAUAACGGUCCUAAGGUAGCGAAAUUCCUUGUCGGGUAAGUUCCGACCUGCACGAAUGGCGUAAUGAUGGCCAGGCUGUCUCCACCCGAGACUCAGUGAAAUUGAACUCGCUGUGAAGAUGCAGUGUACCCGCGGCAAGACGGAAAGACCCCGUGAACCUUUACUAUAGCUUGACACUGAACAUUGAGCCUUGAUGUGUAGGAUAGGUGGGAGGCUUUGAAGCGUGGACGCCAGUCUGCGUGGAGCCAACCUUGAAAUACCACCCUUUAAUGUUUGAUGUUCUAACGUUGGCCCCUGACCGGGGUUGCGGACAGUGUCUGGUGGGUAGUUUGACUGGGGCGGUCUCCUCCCAAAGCGUAACGGAGGAGCACGAAGGUUAGCUAAUCCUGGUCGGACAUCAGGAGGUUAGUGCAAUGGCAUAAGCUAGCUUGACUGCGAGCGUGACGGCGCGAGCAGGUGCGAAAGCAGGUCAUAGUGAUCCGGUGGUUCUGAAUGGAAGGGCCAUCGCUCAACGGAUAAAAGGUACUCCGGGGAUAACAGGCUGAUACCGCCCAAGAGUUCAUAUCGACGGCGGUGUUUGGCACCUCGAUGUCGGCUCAUCACAUCCUGGGGCUGAAGUAGGUCCCAAGGGUAUGGCUGUUCGCCAUUUAAAGUGGUACGCGAGCUGGGUUUAGAACGUCGUGAGACAGUUCGGUCCCUAUCUGCCGUGGGCGCUGGAGAAUUGAGGGGGGCUGCUCCUAGUACGAGAGGACCGGAGUGGACGCAUCACUGGUGUUCGGGUUGUCAUGCCAAUGGCACUGCCCGGUAGCUAAAUGCGGAAGAGAUAAGUGCUGAAAGCAUCUAAGCACGAAACUUGCCCCGAGAUGAGUUCUCCCUGAGACUAUAAGUCUCCUGAAGGAACGUUGAAGACGACGACGUUGAUAGGCCGGGUGUGUAAGCGCAGCGAUGCGUUGAGCUAACCGGUACUAAUGAACCGUGAGGCUUAACCUUACAACGCCGAAG